RNAcentral lists this ribosomal RNA (410 nucleotides) under Verrucomicrobiota bacterium. Its description in RNAcentral is "Verrucomicrobia bacterium partial 16S ribosomal RNA". It matches the Rfam family "Bacterial small subunit ribosomal RNA", at positions 355 to 776 of the family's 1533-position model. The record is from RNAcentral. Lineage: Bacteria; Pseudomonadati; Verrucomicrobiota.
UGGGGAAUCUUGCACAAUGGGCGAAAGCCUGAUGCAGCGACGCCGCGUGCGGGAUGAAGGCCUUCGGGUUGUAAACCGCUUUCAGCAGGGACGAGGCCGCAAGGUGACGGUACCUGCAGAAGAAGCCCCGGCUAACUACGUGCCCGCAGCCGCGGUAAUACGUAGGGGGCAAGCGUUAUCCGGAUUCAUUGGGCGUAAAGCGCGCGUAGGCGGUUUGUUAGGUCAGGAGAUAAAUCUGGGGGCUCAACCUCUAGCCGCUCCUGAUACCGGCAGGCUUGAGUCUGGUAGGGGAAGGCGGAAUUCCAAGUGUAGCGGUGAAAUGCGCAGAUAUUUGGAAGAACACCGGUGGCGAAGGCGGCGUUCUGGGCAACGACUGAAGCGGAGGCGCGAAAGCUAGGGGAGCGAACAGG